UAGUCCACGCCGUAAACGAUGAUAACUAGCUGUCCGGACUCAUAGAGUUUGGGUGGCGCAGCUAACGCAUUAAGUUAUCCGCCUGGGGAGUACGGUCGCAAGAUUAAAACUCAAAGGAAUUGACGGGGGCCUGCACAAGCGGUGGAGCAUGUGGUUUAAUUCGAAGCAACGCGAAAAACCUUACCAGCUCUUGACAUAUGGAUCGCGGAGACCAGAGAUGGACUCUUUCAGUUCGGCUGGAUCCAAUACAGGUGUUGCAUGGUUGUCGUCAGCUCGUGUCGUGAGAUGUUGGGUUAAGUCCCGCAACGAGCGCAACCCUCAUCCUUAGUUGCCAACAGGUAAUGCUGGGAACUCUAAGGAAACUGCCGGUGAUAAACCGGAGGAAGGUGGGGGAUGAUGUCAAAUCAGCAUGGCCCUUACGGGGCUGGGGCUACACGCGUACUACAAUGGGCUAUUACAAU
RNAcentral lists this ribosomal RNA (461 nucleotides) under uncultured bacterium. RNAcentral's name for it is "bacterial SSU rRNA". It matches the Rfam family "Bacterial small subunit ribosomal RNA", at positions 791 to 1243 of the family's 1533-position model. The record is from RNAcentral.